GAUCACGCGGGAAUCUUACCGGGUCCGGACACACUGAGGAUUGACAGACAAAUAUAGAAAUUUUAUAUUUCUCAUAUAUAAAGAUGCUAGUUCUUUCAUGAUUAUGUGAUAGGUGGUGCAUGGCCGUUCUUAGUUCGUGGAGUGAUCUGUCUGCUUAAUUGCGUUUCAAUUUUUAUUAUGUAUACGUAUGACCCACGUUUACGCGUGCGAGUCUAGUAUGCUAUCAUUUGAAAGCAACGAACGUGACCGUAUCCUUUUAUUAUAUACGCACGCGUAUAUUUAUUCAUUAAAGGGACCGCUGUUUCUUUUUUUAAACCAGAGGAAGGUUACGGCAAUAACAGGUCUGUGAUGC
Molecule: ribosomal RNA, 352 nt
Filed under: Elphidium sp. S1
Lineage: Eukaryota; Foraminifera; Rotaliida; Elphidiidae
Description: SSU rRNA
Rfam family: Eukaryotic small subunit ribosomal RNA
Source: RNAcentral